Molecule: ribosomal RNA, 293 nt
Filed under: uncultured fungus
Lineage: Eukaryota; Fungi
Description: partial 18S ribosomal RNA
Rfam family: Eukaryotic small subunit ribosomal RNA
Source: RNAcentral
UCUAUACGGUGAAACUGCGAAUGGCUCAUUAAAUCAGUUAUAGUUUAUUUGAUAGUACCUUACUACAUGGAUACCUGUUGGUAAUUCUAGAGCUAAUACAUGCUUAAAACUCCGACUUCGGAAGGAGUGUAUUUAUUAAAUAAAAAACCAAUGCCCUUCGGGGCUCCUUGGUGAAUCAUAAUAAACUUGUCGAAUCGCAUGGCCUUGCGCCGGCGAUGGUUCAUUCAAAUUUCUGCCCUAUCAACUUUCGAUGGUAGGAUAGUGGCCUACCAUGGUGGCAACGGGUAACGGGG